Molecule: ribosomal RNA, 494 nt
Filed under: uncultured bacterium
Lineage: Bacteria
Description: partial 16S ribosomal RNA
Rfam family: Bacterial small subunit ribosomal RNA
Source: RNAcentral
GACGAACGCUGGCGGCGUGCUUAACACAUGCAAGUCGAACGGAAAGGCCUGCUUUCCCUUGUGGAUUGCGGGUACUCGAGUGGCGAACGGGUGAGUAACACGUGAGUGAUCUGCCCCCAACUUGGGUAUAAGCCUGGGAAACUGGGUCUAAUUCCCGAUAGGACUGCAGGGUGGUGCCUGUGGUGGAAAACGAUUUUCUAGUGGUUGGGGAUGAGCUCGCGGCCUAUCAGCUUGUUGGUGGGGUAAUGGCCUACCAAGGCGGCGAAGGGUAGCCGGCCUGGGAGGGUGGACGGCCACAUUGGGACUGAGAUACGGCCCAGACUCCUACGGGAGGCAGCAGUGGGGAAUAUUGCACAAUGGGCGGAAGCCUGAUGCAGCGACGCCGCGUGGGGGAUGACGGCCUUCGGGUUGUAAACUCCUUUCGACCGCGAGGAAGCCACCUGGUUGGAAGGGUGGUGACGGUAGUGGUAGAAGAAGCACCGGCUAACUACGUG